Molecule: long non-coding RNA, 576 nt
Filed under: Ananas comosus (pineapple)
Lineage: Eukaryota; Viridiplantae; Streptophyta; Magnoliopsida; Poales; Bromeliaceae
Description: long non-coding RNA (ACOM_LNC001619)
Source: RNAcentral
AUAAUAAAAAAAAAGGGCAAUUGCUUAUAUAUCCCUGAAAAGUUCCCGACUUUCCGAUUUAUCCCUCUUAGAAGGCUAAUAUUGAAAAUAUCCCUCCUACGUUCUAACCUAUUUCUAAUAUACCCCUAGAGUUAAAAUAUGUUAAGUAACUCUGUUAUCUCUGUAAAAUUACUAUUUUGCCCUUUCAAAUAUACUCUUUCACCAUUACUUUUUUUUUUAUUUGCCCUUAAAGUCAGGGGUAUAAAAAGUAUUUUGACUUUUGGUCUUUUCUAAUAUAUCCCUUUACCAUCAACAAUCUUUUUUAUUUGCCCUUAAGUUAAGGGCAAAAUUGGUAUUUUAUUUUUUUUAACUGUGGUAGAUAUUUAACUCACGUUUAACCCACUCAGGUUAACUUAACAGGAGAUAACUGCAGGGGUAUUUUGCAAUAACAGAGAAACAUAUGAAGGGUAUUUUAGAAAGAAAAAAAAGAGAUAAAUCGAAUAUUUCCAAACGUAUGAGGAGUAUAUGAGCAAUUAUCCCUAAAAAGGAAGUUUCAUUUAUUUAAUAUUUAAUAUUUAAUACAACAAAAAGGCACAU